UUUGGUGAUGAUUUUUUUUAUAUUCACACUGUAUGAGAAGUUUAUCUUCAAUGACUACAGACAAAAAAAACUGAUUUAAUGACUCUGAAA
RNAcentral lists this small nucleolar RNA (90 nucleotides) under Lodderomyces parapsilosis CDC317. The record is from RNAcentral. Lineage: Eukaryota; Fungi; Ascomycota; Pichiomycetes; Serinales; Debaryomycetaceae.